UCGUAACAAGGUUUCCGUAGGUGAACCUGCGGAAGGAUCAUUACAGAAUGAAAAGUGCUUAACUGCAUUUUUUCUUACACAUGUGUUUUUCUUUUUUUGAAAACUUUGCUUUGGUAGGCCUUCUAUAUGGGGCCUGCCAGAGAUUAAACUCAACCAAAUUUUAUUUAAUGUCAACCGAUUAUUUAAUAGUCAAAACUUUCAACAACGGAUCUCUUGGUUCUCGCAUCGAUGAAGAACGCAGCGAAAUGCGAUAAGUAAUAUGAAUUGCAGAUAUUCGUGAAUCAUCGAAUCUUUGAACGCACAUUGCGCCCUUUGGUAUUCCAAAGGGCAUGCCUGUUUGAGCGUCAUUUCUCCCUCAAACCCUCGGGUUUGGUGUUGAGCGAUACGCUGGGUUUGCUUGAAAGAAAGGCGGAGUAUAAACUAAUGGAUAGGUUUUUUCCACUCAUUGGUACAAACUCCAAAACUUCUUCCAAAUUCGACCUCAAAUCAGGUAGGACUACCCGCUGAACUUAAGCAUAUCAAUAA
This 525-nucleotide unclassified non-coding RNA is filed under the name Lodderomyces parapsilosis. RNAcentral describes it as "Candida parapsilosis sequence contains 18S rRNA gene, ITS1, 5.8S rRNA gene, ITS2, 28S rRNA gene". The stretch from base 194 to 347 matches the Rfam family "5.8S ribosomal RNA". The record is from RNAcentral. Lineage: Eukaryota; Fungi; Ascomycota; Pichiomycetes; Serinales; Debaryomycetaceae.